GUCGUAACAAGGUAGCCGUAUCGGAAGGUGCGGCUGGAUCACCUCCUUUCUAAGGAAUAUUACGGAAACUACACAGUUCGUUCUUACUUUGCUCAGUUUUGAGAGGUUUACUCUCAAUUAAAUAAGAUUAGGGGCCUUAGCUCAGCUGGGAGAGCGCCUGCCUUGCACGCAGGAGGUCAGCGGUUCGAUCCCGCUAGGCUCCAUAGACAACAAAAGUUGUCUGUUGUUCAUUGAAAACUGGAUAUUGAAGUAAAAUUUUUACAACAAACCGAGAACACCGCGUUGAAAGAGUUUUUAACAAUUAAGUUCAAAACGCUAAACAAUGAGGAUUGGUGGAACUAACUAUCGCUAGUUAGCGGAAGCCAAAAGCCUAACACUUUGUGUUAGCAAUGAGGUUAAGUGAAGAAGGGCACACGGUGGAUGCCUUGGCACUAGAAGCCGACGAAGGACGGGACUAACGCCGAUAUGCUUUGGGGAGCUGUACGUAAGCUAUGAUCCAGAGAUUUCCGAACGGGGAAACCC
This 522-nucleotide unclassified non-coding RNA is filed under the name Vagococcus sp. RNAcentral describes it as "partial contains 16S ribosomal RNA, 16S-23S ribosomal RNA intergenic spacer, and 23S ribosomal RNA". The stretch from base 394 to 522 matches the Rfam family "Bacterial large subunit ribosomal RNA", at positions 1 to 129 of the family's 2925-position model. Lineage: Bacteria; Bacillati; Bacillota; Bacilli; Lactobacillales; Enterococcaceae. The record is from RNAcentral.